Empidonax traillii (willow flycatcher) is the source of this 913-nucleotide long non-coding RNA. RefSeq lists it as uncharacterized. The record is from RefSeq and is a predicted model, not a curated record. Lineage: Eukaryota; Metazoa; Chordata; Aves; Passeriformes; Tyrannidae. The transcript is spliced from 4 exons.
UACUGUAAUUUUUCUUCACUUUUCAAAGAAAAGCCACUGUAAUUUCAGUUGAAACUUUAAGACAACCAACAUGGGUUUGGCAGUCCAGCCAGUCAUCAGUCUCAGCGUUUGAAAGAGGGAGGCUCUUCUUGGCAGCAAAGCGGGUCUUAUAAAAAUAUCACAGUAUAUAUGCAAGUAUCAGUCACUUUGUAAUGACUGUUUAUAUAUGGGUUGUUAAUGAAGUUAGCUCACAACAGAUUUCAUUCCUUAAAAGAGAGAAGAAAAAUAGAAAACUUAAAGGAGACUCUUCAUCACAGCUGCAUUUUAAACAGCUGAGAACCAAAAAUGAAUGUGCUCCUUCUCCUCGAACUCACUAACAAAGCGUCACGAGCUUCAGUGGAACUGCACAGGUGUACAGCAAUAAGGAUAUGAUGUUAGAUGGCCACACAGACAAGCUCUGUCAUUGCAUAUCUGGAUGGCACAGAGAAGUCCUCCCCUAAAAGCAGAAUGCAGAGUGCUCCUGUUGCUUGAAGACUUGCUUGUGCCCAGCGGCAGGAACAGAACAGAAUCUCCUGAGGAAGAAGCUUUUCAGCCCAUUGUGCCACCUGUAGCCUCAGAGGAGAGGUGUGCAAUGCUAUGUUUGGAAGCUGUACGACACCAAAAAUGUAACAGAAGAUUGCACCUUGCUUGGAGACUGUAUUUAUUAUGACCAUGUAAUAUAAUGGAAAUACGUAAUGGAAAUCCAGGUCAAAAGUUAAGAGUGAAGUUGUGUUAUAAGAAGAGCAAGAGUGAGAGUAAAGAGAGUAACUUCAUAUUAAAAAAAUAAUUCUAAAUUCUUGGGAAAAUCAUGAACAAUUUCCUGAGUAUCGAGCACACGGUUUCCUGACAUAUGUAAAGCUGCAAAUUUCUCCUAUCAUUCCACGACUGAGGUAAG